This 467-nucleotide ribosomal RNA is filed under the name uncultured bacterium. RNAcentral's name for it is "partial 16S ribosomal RNA". It matches the Rfam family "Bacterial small subunit ribosomal RNA", at positions 29 to 507 of the family's 1533-position model. The record is from RNAcentral.
ACGAACGCUGGCGGCGUGCUUAACACAUGCAAGUCGAACGGAAAGGCCCUGCUUUUGUGGGGUGCUCGAGUGGCGAACGGGUGAGUAACACGUGAGUAACCUGCCCUUGACUUUGGGAUAACUUCAGGAAACUGGGGCUAAUACCGGAUAGGAGCUCCUGCUGCAUGGUGGGGGUUGGAAAGUUUCGGCGGUUGGGGAUGGACUCGCGGCUUAUCAGCUUGUUGGUGGGGUAGUGGCUUACCAAGGCUUUGACGGGUAGCCGGCCUGAGAGGGUGACCGGCCACAUUGGGACUGAGAUACGGCCCAGACUCCUACGGGAGGCAGCAGUGGGGAAUAUUGCACAAUGGGCGGAAGCCUGAUGCAGCAACGCCGCGUGCGGGAUGACGGCCUUCGGGUCGUAAACCGCUUUCGCCUGUGACGAAGCGUGAGUGACGGUAAUGGGUAAAGAAGCACCGGCUAACUACGUG